Molecule: long non-coding RNA, 204 nt
Filed under: Oryza brachyantha (malo sina)
Lineage: Eukaryota; Viridiplantae; Streptophyta; Magnoliopsida; Poales; Poaceae
Description: long non-coding RNA (OBRA_LNC000089)
Source: RNAcentral
CGGGUCAAAAGAAAUAACAUGAAAUCGACGUUUCAAAUAUCGUCGAUAUAUUAGGAUAAACUUUAAAUUUGACUAUAUAAUUAUUUAGUAUAGCAGAGUGGCUAACCAAAUAAUAAUACAACGAGUCAAAGGUCUAAGUUGAUUUCGAGUGGUUUCGCCGGUACUAGAGAAUAGUAACCCUAGGAUUAAAAUUAUGGUUUUGAC